Molecule: ribosomal RNA, 484 nt
Filed under: uncultured bacterium
Lineage: Bacteria
Description: partial 16S ribosomal RNA
Rfam family: Bacterial small subunit ribosomal RNA
Source: RNAcentral
AUUGAACGCUGGCGGCAGGCCUAACACAUGCAAGUCGAGCGGAUGAAGGGAGGUUGCUCCUGGAUUCAGCGGCGGACGGGGGAGUAAUGCCUAGGAAUCUGCCUGGUAGUGGGGGAUAACGUCCGGAAACGGGCGCUAAUACCGCAUACGUCCUGAGGGAGAAAGUGGGGGAUCUUCGGACCUCACGCUAUCAGAUGAGCCUAGGUCGGAUUAGCUAGUUGGUGGGGUAAAGGCCUACCAAGGCGACGAUCCGUAACUGGUCUGAGAGGAUGAUCAGUCACACUGGAACUGAGACACGGUCCAGACUCCGACGGGAGGAAGCAGUGGGGAAUAUUGGACAAUGGGCGAAAGCCUGAUCCAGCCAUGCCGCGUGUGUGAAGAAGGUCUUCGGAUGGUAAAGCACUUUAAGUUGGGAGGAAGGGCAGUAAGUUAAUACCUGGCUGUUUUGACGUUACCAACAGAAUAAGCACCGGCUAACUUCGUG